AGUGAACGCUGGCGGUAGGCCUAACACAUGCAAGUCGAACGGCAGCACAGUAAGAGCUUGCUCUUACGGGUGGCGAGUGGCGGACGGGUGAGGAAUACAUCGGAAUCUACUUUUUCUUGGGUGAUAACGUAGGGAAACUUACGCUAAUACCGCAUACGUCCUACGGGUGAAAGCAGGGGAUCUUCGGACCUUGCGCGAUUCAAUGAGCCGAUGUCGGAUUAGCUAGUUGGCGGGGUAAGGGCCCACCAAGGCGACGAUCCGUAGCUGGUCUGAGAGGAUGAUCAGCCACACUGGAACUGAGACACGGUCCAGACUCCUACGGGAGGCAGCAGUGGGGAAUAUUGGACAAUGGGCGCAAGCCUGAUCCAGCCAUGCCGCGUGGGUGAAGAAGGCCUUCGGGUUGUAAAGCCCUUUUGUUGGGAAAGAAAAGCAGCAGGUUAAUACCCCGCUGUUCUGACGGUACCCAAAGAAUAAGCACCGGCUAACUUCGUG
RNAcentral lists this ribosomal RNA (492 nucleotides) under uncultured bacterium. RNAcentral's name for it is "partial 16S ribosomal RNA". It matches the Rfam family "Bacterial small subunit ribosomal RNA", at positions 29 to 507 of the family's 1533-position model. The record is from RNAcentral.